This 208-nucleotide ribosomal RNA is filed under the name uncultured bacterium. RNAcentral describes it as "partial 16S ribosomal RNA". It matches the Rfam family "Bacterial small subunit ribosomal RNA", at positions 568 to 774 of the family's 1533-position model. The record is from RNAcentral.
CGCGUAGGCGGUUUCUUAAGUCUGAUGUGAAAGCCUUCGGCUCAACCGAAGAAGUGCAUCGGAAACUGGGAAACUUGAGUGCAGAAGAGGACAGUGGAACUCCAUGUGUAGCGGUGAAAUGCGUAGAGAUCGGGAAGAACACCAAUGGCGAAAGCACUCUGCUGGGCCGAAACUGACACUGAGAGACGAAAGCGUAGGGGAGCGAAUG